CUACGGGGGGCUGCAGUGAGGAAUAUUGCACAAUGGGGGGAACCCCGAUGCAGCAACGCCGCGUGGAGGAUGACGCAUUUCGGUGUGUAAACUCCUUUUAUAUGUCAAGAAAAUGACGGUAGCAUAUGAAUAAGCACCGGCUAACUCCGUGCCAGCAGCCGCGGUAAUACGGAGGGUGCAAGCGUUACUCGGAAUCACUGGGCGUAAAGGACGCGUAGGCGGGUUGGAAAGUCAGGUGUGAAAUCCUACAGCUUAACUGUAGGACUGCACUUGAAACUUCUAAUCUAGAGUAUGGGAGGGGGAGAUGGAAUUAGUGGUGUAGGGGUAAAAUCCGUAGAUAUCACUAGGAAUACCUAAAGCGAAGGCGAUCUCCUGGAACAUUACUGACGCUAAGGCGUGAAAGCGUGGGGAGCAAACAGGAUUAGAUACCCCCGUAGUC
This 439-nucleotide ribosomal RNA is filed under the name uncultured bacterium. RNAcentral describes it as "partial 16S ribosomal RNA". It matches the Rfam family "Bacterial small subunit ribosomal RNA", at positions 339 to 795 of the family's 1533-position model. The record is from RNAcentral.